AAGAAAAGUAAACCAGAGUUAGAGCUUGCUCAUUCAUGGAUCAAAACUUGCAAUUCUACUUAAACAUAUCUUGGCGAAAAUAGCUUUCAGCGGUUAAGCAGAAUCGACAUGGCGAGUGGCCUUGGCAGCUUCUACUGAUUCACUUUCUAUAUCAGAAACGUCGUCUUUUGUUCGGUAGCUGUGCGUUGGCUUUUCUGUUUUAUGAUCGUUUCUUGGACGAUGAAGGUUUAGUUAACCCUCCUUGGCAAACUUGUGAGCCCCACGUUUUCCGCCAUGAAUAAGAGUUUCCCAAGAACGACCGUGAAGACUUUCCUGUUUUAUAAAAAAAAACCAAAAAAAAGGAAAAAGACAAAGAAUGUCCUUGGGUGUCGAUGACUCGAGGAUAGAUCUCGAUUUUUCCAAAAUGGAGGCCUUUUUGAACAACAUAUGGAAACCAUUUCCACCCUUUAUUUGGUGUGAAACAAGUGAACGCGAGGUACUCUUUUUUGUUAACGUUUUCUGGAUGCCCGCCCUUGUAUUCCGAACACUGGUAUGCAUGCCGUCAAGACACGAGAGAUUUCAGCUCUUAGAUUUAUUUUAAGAAUGAACAGCCAAAGUUGAUACUGUUCACGUUGAACUGUGGAAUGUCACCUUUGCUAAGCACUAUGCUAUUUUAAAAUCAUAUGAUCUAAAAUUAAUAGCAGCUGUCCCCGUAUUUACAGUGAACCGUAACUACGUCAACUACUUUCAAUUUCGAAAAAUAUCGCUCUGACAUCCUUACUCGUUCAAGCAUUCAAAUACGGUAACCAAUGCAUUUCAGCACAAUCAAACAACUGAAAGAGAAUCGUAGUUUUUGGGCUAACCUGAUGACCCAAUGCUAGACCCUGUUUCCCCAUCAAAGCAUCAUAGCCUACUUAUUUACAAGCUGGCUAUGUUUUCCGCUAUGGCACCAAGUCAUUCCGUUUUCUCACUAUAUUAUGCCCUUUAAAUCCGCCAGGCAGAACUAUUUUGGUCUAGAAAACUAGAACCAUCACAACUACUACUGCAUGAAUGCCAAAAAGAUCGGUACCAAAAGCAAUUCAGUGUCGAUGAAGCAUAUCAAAGACAAACCCUAUUCUCUUUCAUAGCUAUCUCAACCAGUUUUAUGUAAAAAAAUGUGUUGGGUCUGAGUCAUAAAAUCCCAGUUGCAUAGCGAUUGAAGAAAAAUAGUGAGCCACGUCUACACGUCAUGGGGUUUGCUACUGUCCAGACAAUCCUCAGACAUUUCCCCUUUUGUAUGGAGAACCGUUCAUCGUCGGCUCUUCAUCACAGACACACCGCAAAGAAUCAAUUAGAAAUGCUUAGACCAUUUAAAAAUUUUUACAUUAAUUAACCCAACUUUUUCAAUUUACAUUUGAUGGAACUCACAUAUUUCUUUAACGUUCAAUAGUUUAUUAAUGUCGUCCAGCAUUGUUGAUUGCGACACAUUACCAUCAAAGAGAUGCUGGUAAGCAAAUCUCAAUUAUAAUUGUUAACAAAAUCAAAGGUGCCGUAGACAGUCAGUCUUUUACACGUAACGUCCUGUCACGUGACGUCACGUAAUUUCCUGAUGGUGAAAUCGUCUAGAUAGCUAAAUAAUCCCCAUUGUUACAAGCUAGGACUCGGUUACCCGAGACCCGGUUACUAUCGGAAGGUACUGACACAACACAAAACAAAAUUACGAAUGAAAAAAACAUUUUCGUGUGUCGCGCUACUAUCUUCCAGUAGUAAAUGCCAGUAGUAAAUAGUAAAUGCUCCUGAACCCUAGUAAAUAUUUUGCCAAUAGAUGGCAAUGCGACGUUUAAGAAGGUUCGAUUUCAAAACCUGGCAACACUAGUUAGUUCCGUACAUGGUUCCGUAUAACUCAAUAGUUCCGUAUAACUCAAUAGUUCCGUAUAACUCAAGUACUCAACAGCUCACGGUGUUCGCGAAGUACCCCAUAAGGCGAUAGCCUUAGAGAAACCAAAAAUCACACGGUAUUAUCAUAAUUGAAAACUGAUUUCACUUAAGUUAUUGGUUUUCUCGUCAAACCAGCCGUUUUUAAAUUAAACAAAAAUCAGAUGAUGGUAGCGCACGAACUCUGUUUAUUAGCAGCUUAUUAGAUGCUUGUGUAAUAGCAUUGAAGAAUGGUGAUUUUAACUACUCCUAUUAUUACUGUUUUUUUAUUAUGUAAAACUAAUUCCACCUUCAAACAAAAAUCGAGUGUAUGAUGCAAAUAAUCAUGAAAAGAAGUGUUUAUCAGUUUGUUACAAAAAGUGGCAAAUUUGAGUGUUGUAACGAAGAGAAUGUUUCAAGCAGACGAACUGUUUGGCAAAAAUUUGUUUUUGUCACUGGCAUCGUCAUCUAGCGGCAAUUUUCCAGGAAAAUAAGCCGACUUUUACUUUUUUUUUUCAAUUAUGUGUAUAUUGCGAUAAAUUACAUGAUUUGUAUUCGAAAUUCAACGACAAUGUCGAAAAUUAGAACAAUUUGACUUGGAAGAAACAGUAAGAGUUAUUUUUUUUACAAGAAAGUCUGGCUUACUUCGCUAUGGAAAGCUGUCCCGUCAGCUGUUUCAUUUCGCGUGGCUUUGGACUGAUGAUGGAUGCUUAAACAAACGUCUAUCUUCUCAAAAUUUAUCCACCAAUUCCGUGUGUUUUGAGCUGCAUCUUGUGAAUUCAAUCAAUGCAGAGAUUUUUAAGGAGGAGCAUGGCCUGGCUUUGCUAGCACGUUUUUUAUCUCCGUUAGUCUAAUACACACACUGUACCGAAGGUCUUUGGGAUAUACCUGAUGUACUGUGGUGGCCGCAGUAUCAUUCAGUGACAGAAAGGAAUGCCAUCAAUGUUCUCUUGUCAGUUUAAUACAAGAUUUCCAGUAUUAA
Long non-coding RNA from Daphnia magna, 2854 nucleotides. RefSeq lists it as uncharacterized. The transcript is spliced from 5 exons. Lineage: Eukaryota; Metazoa; Arthropoda; Branchiopoda; Diplostraca; Daphniidae. The record is from RefSeq and is a predicted model, not a curated record.